This 246-nucleotide ribosomal RNA is filed under the name uncultured Leptolinea sp. Its description in RNAcentral is "partial 16S ribosomal RNA". It matches the Rfam family "Bacterial small subunit ribosomal RNA", at positions 1136 to 1382 of the family's 1533-position model. Lineage: Bacteria; Bacillati; Chloroflexota; Anaerolineae; Anaerolineales; Anaerolineaceae. The record is from RNAcentral.
GACUCUAUCGAGACCGACGGCGACAAGCCGGAGGAAGUGGGGAUGAUGUCAAGUCAGCAUGGCCUUUAUAUCCUGGGCUACACACACGCUACAAUGGCAGAUACAAUAGGUUGCGAAACCGCGAGGUGGAGCCAAUCCUCAAAGUCUGUCUCAGUUCAGAUUGUAGGCUGCAACUCGCCUGCAUGAAGUUGGAGUUGCUAGUAAACGCAGGUCAGCUAUACUGCGUUGAAUACGUUCCCGGGGUUU